UUCAAGGCCGUAACUAGGCAUCUUAUUUUAGUGAGGCAAAAUAAUUGAGCCGAGCGAAGCGAGGCGAUAAUUUUUUUUUGGAGGGUAUGAAAUGAAUGGUGCAAAAUCCUGCAUUCUAGGCAUUUUUAGAGAGUUUGAUAAUGUUUUGAAUUUGGACACUUUUUAUAUAAAUUUUUCAUAUUUUAAGACUUUUACUAACACCAAAUUUUUAACGACUUUAUUUAAAUUUGUAUGUAAGAUAAUCAUCCAAAUGUCACUGAUUUGAGUCUGCUGCCAGAACAUAGAACAAACAUCGAUUCAGUAGAGUUUGGCAAAUUUUUCUAUGGCCGGUUCUGUCAAAUCGUUUCAGAAUCAUUAUUUGGUCUGCUGAUAUCCUUAUCGCGAUUAACAUGGAGCAUGGCAAGACCGCACAAUCUCUCGCCACUCAUGCAUGCUCUUUUCCAAGUUUUCAGUCGUUUCAGGACAGUCUGUGUUUCUAAAGGUAGCACAUUAUCAUCAACAUAAUGAUCAAUGUCUUCUUCCAGUUCCUUCUCCAUCAGCAAUUCGGUAGCAGCAUCGGUAGUAACAAGUUUGUUUUGCAAAAGGGAAUUAAGCUUUCCUGCAUGUAAGCACCAUCAUACAGUCGCAGUUACAAAAUAUUAAACUCGCUUUUAUGCUGACAAAAAGUAGACAAACUAGG
This 679-nucleotide long non-coding RNA is filed under the name Mytilus galloprovincialis (Mediterranean mussel). Lineage: Eukaryota; Metazoa; Mollusca; Bivalvia; Mytilida; Mytilidae. The record is from RNAcentral.